GAAAUGCGAUAAGUAAUGUGAAUUGCAGAAUUCAGUGAAUCAUCGAAUCUUUGAACGCACAUUGCGCCCUCUGGUAUUCCGGGGGGCAUGCCUGUUCGAGCGUCAUUUCACCACUCAAGCAAUGCUUGGUAUUAGGCACUCGUCCGUCCCUCGCGGCGGGCGGGCCUCAAAACCUUCGGCGAAGUCACACCGGCUUUGGGCGCAGUAGAAUCAUCUUAAACGCUCUGUGAGUCCGGUCGAGUCUUUUGCCGCGAAAGAUUCUCACGAAUCAUCUUUUUCAAAGGUUGACCUCGGAUCAGGUAGGGAUACCCGCUGAACUUAA
RNAcentral lists this unclassified non-coding RNA (322 nucleotides) under uncultured Eurotiomycetes. Its description in RNAcentral is "sequence contains ITS1". The stretch from base 1 to 105 matches the Rfam family "5.8S ribosomal RNA", at positions 50 to 154 of the family's 154-position model. The record is from RNAcentral. Lineage: Eukaryota; Fungi; Ascomycota; Eurotiomycetes.